AUUUAUUAUUCACAAGUGUUUGAGGAUUUAGCAUCUUGUCUCGGGGAAUGUGUGUUUCUGCACUUUGAAUUAGGGGUCGAACAAACACGGGAUCGGUUGGUGCGAGUGUGUGUAUGUAUGUGUGCAUGUUUGUUGGGCUUUCUUUGUAGGUAAGGCCCUGUGUACUUUCUCAAACACCACAUCAAAGGGCGAGAAGCUUGUUAAAGCACAUUAAACUCAUGGUUGCAAGAGAGGGGUGGAGAUCUGCGGAUUAAAAAUCCAGUUUUUACAGUACAAAAGGGAGUCACUGCAAGAAAAAACUCGCAAACACUCUCUCACACCCUUUGUACUCCCAUCUACUUAUACUAGCUAAUCCAUGGAAGUAGCUUAGUAGCAGAGGCAGCGUCAGUUUGCUUCCGGGACCUCAAACAAUCAUCAUUCCAGGGUGUUACCCCGUUAAAGGAGGACUCCAGGUGACUGUCCAGGUAGGGCCUCCUCCGAGGGUGGAGGGAGGAGGGACCGAUUUACUGCCACCAUCAUGCCUGUGGUGAGCCACCAUCCACGAGAGCUCCUGAUGCCAGUCCGGUGGACCGUGUGGAUGGACGUCAGGAUUCAGUCCCCCUUGAUGCCCCCAGCAUAGCUGCUUUCCACGUGCACAUCCCUGGCUGCAUGAGGCCAUUAAGCUCACAUUCUGCAGGCUGGGCCCCGCGCUCCUCAUUGUUCCACCCGGGCAUCCUAAAGCGAAGGGUUUCUAGUCAACUUGGAAAAGGCGAAUUAGUUGCUAUGGAGACCUGUCCACGCGGGCAACAAACCGGAGGGCUUCUGUACACUAACUUGAUCAGGUGGUGGAGCCAGGAAGUGGGCAAGGCAACGAUGGUUCUUAACCACUCCAGUUUCAGAACACAGACACCCCCUGAGAAUAAAGACCCCUUACGAGGGUUGUGGUGA
Molecule: long non-coding RNA, 927 nt
Filed under: Scleropages formosus (Asian bonytongue)
Lineage: Eukaryota; Metazoa; Chordata; Actinopteri; Osteoglossiformes; Osteoglossidae
Description: lncRNA (ENSSFOG00015026491.1)
Source: RNAcentral